This 601-nucleotide ribosomal RNA is filed under the name Ustilentyloma graminis. Its description in RNAcentral is "eukaryotic LSU rRNA". It matches the Rfam family "Eukaryotic large subunit ribosomal RNA", at positions 78 to 664 of the family's 3401-position model. Lineage: Eukaryota; Fungi; Basidiomycota; Microbotryomycetes; Microbotryales; Ustilentylomataceae. The record is from RNAcentral.
CCCUAGUAGCGGCGAGCGAAGCGGGAAGAGCUCAAAUUUAUAAUCUGGCACCUUCGGUGUCCGAGUUGUAAUCUCUAGAAGUGUUUUCCGCGUUGGACCGCACACAAGUCUGUUGGAAUACAGCGGCAUAGUGGUGAAACCCCCGUAUAUGGUGCGGACGCCCAGCGCUUUGUGAUACACUUUCAAUGAGUCGAGUUGUUUGGGAAUGCAGCUCAAAUUGGGUGGUAAAUUCCAUCUAAAGCUAAAUAUUGGCGAGAGACCGAUAGCGAACAAGUACCGUGAGGGAAAGAUGAAAAGCACUUUGGAAAGAGAGUUAACAGUACGUGAAAUUGUUGGAAGGGAAACGCUUGAAGUCAGACUUGCUUGCCGGAGCUUGCUUCGGUUUGCAGGCCAGCAUCAGUUUUCCGGGGUGGAUAAUGACGGUUUGAAGGUAGCAGUCUCGGCUGUGUUAUAGCUUUCCGUUGGAUACAUCCUGGGGGACUGAGGAACGCAGCGUGCUUUUUGCGAAAGACUCGUCUUUUUCACGCUUAGGAUGCUGGUGGAAUGGCUUUAAACGACCCGUCUUGAAACACGGACCAUUUAUUUUUUUUCCGGAAAUGCA